Molecule: long non-coding RNA, 1575 nt
Organism: Vulpes vulpes (red fox)
Lineage: Eukaryota; Metazoa; Chordata; Mammalia; Carnivora; Canidae
Source: Ensembl
UGACAUUAGGAGAUUAUGUCCCCUCCCUCACACACUCAUACAUCCUUUCCAAAUUUCCUAUUGAUUACUUCCCCAGAGUGAAAGAGGCAGGAAACAGGAAUAUCCUCUCAUGGAUGUGGUUGCCAUCUUGACUGGUGUGGUUAGCACUAAAUCCAUUAGCAUUAAUACUCCCCAUAAGAAGCUUUGGAUAAGUAGCUUUAAAACUCUGGAUGAUCAACAAAGAAAUAGAUUUUCUUGGGGGAGGGUGAAUAUGUUAGAAAAGAAGACAGGAAGGAGGCAGAUGCGCUGAGUCACAGUAGACAAAACUGAUCCUGAAAAAAAUAUGGGAAUCCAAGGCUAAUUGAAGUAAUUACCAGGGUUUGUGAGCCCCUGCCUUCCUAUUGGUGCAACUUUCUUUCUUCCACCCUCCCUGCCCCUCUUAGACUCACUCGGUAUGUGAGUUGCCAUUGAAGCUUGAUAGGCCAUGUCUGAACCAGGUGCCGUGAAUGUACCCAAGGUUAUAUUACCUAGAUUCUUAGCUUGUCACAGUGGUCCCCCAAGAAGAAAUCAGUGUGGAUCCUAUAAAGCAGUGCUUCUCAAACCUUACUGUGUAUAACAGUGACCUUAGAAAUCUUGUUAAAAUGCACAUUCUGAUUCUAGAAGUUUGGAAUGGGACCAGAGAUUCAGUCUUUCAGAGAUGCCUCUGCUCUUUGUUCUGGGGCCACACACUGAGGAGCAACAUCCUACAACACUGGUUCUUAAAUCUCUAUGCAGCUGAAGGUUUCCUACAAUGCUUUUUAUAAAUGACCAACACUCCUUCCCAGAUCAAUGAAAUCAGAAUGGGGAGAGGGGGGUGAGGUGAGUGGAACAGGUAAUAAAACUUUGUAAAAGUUACCUAGGUGACUAAAAUGUGCUGCUAUGUUUGAGACCCACCAAUCCAUCCUAAUCCUAGUGAAAUCAAAUGACCCUCACUUAUCUCUCUGUUCUGUUCCACCAGCUGCCAAGUCUUAAGUCUUCACAACCAGCGAUAAAAACCCUCUUCCCACUCUCUGGUGCUGUCAGCUCGACAUCCUACUUUUCACUCCCUUUUACAUCAUUCCUCUCCUGCUACCUGCUUUUCAGUCCUCGACAUGCUCUUGUUUUGACAACAGCCCUCCUGCCUUGGUCCCUCCAGCCUUGACCCUAAGUAGCUUCCUGUUUUUGCUUAUCUCUGAGUUCACCUGCAAUUUCAGUUGUGGAAGAGCAGAAAGAAGAAAGUAUCUAAAAUUGGACACUUGUCCGUGAUCAGAAUAUAAAGAAAACUAAGCACUACAGGACUCUAUUGUCAAGUACAAGCCACGCUGAUGCUUAGAUGACAUCCCACUCUUUCGCAGGAGACCCUGUGGUGUGGCUCAGAGAUAACAGUCUUUUCAGGGAUAUUCUUAUUAAGACAUUUUGCAUUUAUGUGACACUUUUUUAUCUUCAAAGGAAGAUAUUACAAAAAUUUAUUUACAAUACCCUAUAAAAAUGGGCCAUUAUUUUUUUCACUAUGUAGAUCAGACAAAUUAUGAAAAGUGAAAAAUUCGCCUUGGGCCAUAAAUAAAACAGUAAAAUAAG